CUGGCUCUCUUGGAACAUUAUCUAAGCUAUAUCUGUUCUUAUCAAUCUAAUAUCUGAUAUGUUCUUAAUUUAAGGACUGUAUAUUAAACUGAUUUUUGAAACAGGGAGAUGGAGUAGGAGCUUGCUCUGUCCACCCCAUGCAUUGAACUGGUACUGCAGUGUCUCCAAACAAAAUAAAAAGAUA
Molecule: small nuclear RNA, 184 nt
Organism: Gopherus evgoodei (Goodes thornscrub tortoise)
Lineage: Eukaryota; Metazoa; Chordata; Testudines; Testudinidae
Gene: U2
Rfam family: U2 spliceosomal RNA
About the family: U2 is a small nuclear RNA (snRNA) component of the spliceosome (involved in pre-mRNA splicing).
Source: Ensembl